Molecule: long non-coding RNA, 1936 nt
Organism: Fukomys damarensis (Damara mole-rat)
Lineage: Eukaryota; Metazoa; Chordata; Mammalia; Rodentia; Bathyergidae
Source: Ensembl
AGAGCUUUCACCUCCACACGUACAGGAAGUACUCCGUGGCUUCUCUUUGGCACAUCCGGGAUGCAGCGUUACCACCCCCGCACUUUUGUGCCAUCGUUCGGUGACCAACGGUUACUUGAGCAGAAGCACUGUGUUGCCACCAACAGUCAACCUUACUACGGAGAUGGUUAUCAAUAGGCAGUCGGUGACUGGACCAAGACAUAAUUCACAGCCCAGGCGGCAUACAACUCAAAUAUUAUGAGGACCCCACAGAGGUUGACAGAAACAUCAGGGAAAAUCCUUGGAUUGUUUUCCCAGGAGAAGGUGGAAGGGAACAGUUCCAGAGGUACUGUUCUGUACACACCAAUUUACCAUAUUCUCCACAGAUACCUCAGUCUACAAGAAGGAGGCAGUGAAAGGGUAGUCGAAUACACUGUAGAAAGCAUACUUCAGCAAGGGAAAGAAUCAAGAAAAAUAAUCCACCCACGGAAGAAGGUAGAGGAAAUGCUGCACUCAGACUUUCCUCUGGAAGAAAGGGAAGACAAUCUUGUGAAGCCAUCCUCCCAAACCCAAAUGAACCGUGACUUCGAGGGAAGGCUCCGUCAUAAUAUUAGAGAACGUCCUCAGCCACCACAGCAAGCACGGAGUCAAAACCAGUGGAACAAGCCCAGGAGACUUGUGAGAAAAAAUAUUAUUCCUGAUGAGAAAGUAUAAAGUACAAAGUGAAGACACAGAGCUGAGGAUUUUGCAGGUGAGCCUAGAAGCCUUGGUGACAUGGGGGCAACAAAACUAAGAACAAACCAGACGCAGUAGCACUGCAGGCCAGGCUAUUCUGAAGUCUUGCAGGCAAAAAGGGGCACACAUCUUCCAGUAUUAAAAUACUUAGCUUACAACGUGGCUGACUUUUAACACGAAAUGAUGAGACACGUCAAAAAUUAAGAAAAAGCAGAGACAAAGGCAACCCACAAGCAGCCUCAGCCAAGACGCCGAUGUUUCUAGGCUUUCCCUCCAUUCAUCCUAUCAAGCCCUGAGGAAGAAGACCCGGCUCCAUUAGAAAAGUAGAGAACAUGAAUGAUUAGAUGGAGGAUCUCAGCAAGGUGGUGUAAGCUAAAAAAUAAACAAAUGAAAAUGGUAGCUAUCUAUAAUACUGUACCAGAGAUGUAAAAAAACAAUUUUAACAAGCACAUCAGUGUAUUCAACAGAGCCAUGAAUGCUGUCCAUGAACCUAAAGACAGAUGGAGAGAAACUACUCAAGUGAAACACAAGGUCAAAAAAUUAAGGAAGCUGGAAAAGAAAGAGUGAGAGGAAGAGGCGGGGUGGGAGGAAGGGAUGGGGAGAGAACAGCCAAAAGUGUGGGACGACAUCUACCAGCCUCAUCUGCAUAUAAUGAAUCCGGGGACGAAAAGACAGAAUGUGAAAGAAGAAGUAUUUGAAGGAAUAAUAGUCAAGAUUUUCUCCAAAGUCAGUGACAGAAGUAAACCAGAAAUCAAAAGAUCUCAAAGAGAAAAAGCAGCAGAAAUACUAAAUAAAUACUAAAUAAACCACAAGUGGUUCAAACCACAAGGGUUCACAACACAGCAAGCCAAAAAAGGAAAAUAUAAAGACAGAGAAAAAUAAUGACAAAAGAAGAAGUAAAUUAUAUCAGACUUAUCAUUAGUAACUAAACAAGCACAAAGACAAUGGCUACCAUUCCUAAAUUUGGGAAAAGGCAGGGACUAAAAUCCCAGCAUUCUAUGUCCCACAAGUAAAUGGGAAACCUACCAUCCCCAAACUGUGGGAGGCUGAGGCAGAAGGAUCAUAAAUUCAAACCACCCUAGGAAACUUAGUGAUUUAGCAAAACCCUGUCUCAAAAUAAAAAUAAAAAGAGCUGGGGAUGUAGCACAGUGUAAAGUCCUUGGGUUCGAUGCCCAGUACUGAAAAAAAAGUAAAGGAGAAAUAUGACUUUUUCAGACAAGCA